Molecule: long non-coding RNA, 758 nt
Filed under: Homo sapiens (human)
Lineage: Eukaryota; Metazoa; Chordata; Mammalia; Primates; Hominidae
Description: novel transcript, antisense to TMEM132D
Source: RNAcentral
GUGGUGAAAAGCAACGAAAGAAUAACUGGUGAGGGUGUGAAAGAAGAGCCCCAGUUCUUAUCUUCCUCCAGGCCCAUGGCAGUCUCAUUUCAGCUGUGAGGCAUUUAACUCUCCCAAUUUUGAAAAGCCUUCUUGGAUAAUUUUAGCAUUCCCAAAACUUGCUGAUAAUACCCUAAGCUAAGGGAAAAGGCGUACCAUCAGCAGCCCCCCGGCUGCCCUAUCAAUGGCUUGGAAAAUCUAUUAAGACGAAUAUUCUCACAACCCAAUUGCCAACCCGGAACGAUCAGACUGGUCUCUGUAUUCCACGGUGCAGAUGGAGUUUGUAAGAACGGGAAGGCCGGCUCUACUUCGGUGAGCGAUAACACAGCUUUUCUGGUCAAACAGCUUCUGGAAAACACCACCUGAUCGACGGGCGGGUACAGACAGACAUUGGGAAACGACUUACCUCAACGUGAAGCGAUCUUCAGUGGAAUUUCUGGAGAUGGAAACAGGAAAAGUCAGCACGUCUCCUUUCCUCACGGUCUUUGGUAUAUAGUGGAUGGCCACGCUGUUGUCCAGACGCAGUUCUCUCAGGGAGGGUUUCCUGUGUGUCUGAUAAAGGAAGAUGCUCCCGAUCCUCUGCAAGGGGGGCCCGGACUCAUCGAUGUCACUGUGGCCUGUCCGGAUCCCAUUGCUUCUCCUCGCGUCUUCCCUGACGCAGUCCCCUCUCUCACCCCCUGGGUGCACGGUGUAGUAGAGCUCCACGGGGGUCCCCUCCG